RNAcentral lists this unclassified non-coding RNA (153 nucleotides) under soil metagenome. Its description in RNAcentral is "partial internal transcribed spacer 1". The record is from RNAcentral.
GUGAUUAAAUCAAGCGUGUCUUCAUUGACCGCUCACCCUUCUCACCAUCCACAUACACCUGUGCACUGUUUAGCCUGAGCCGGUUUUCCGGUCCAGGUUAUCAUUUCAUACAAACUCUAGUCUUAUGAAUGUAAACGUUUUAAUAACAUAAUA